GACAGAGGUGCCGAGCGUUAGGCGGAAUCACUGGGCUUAAAGCGUGUGUAGGCGGAUUGGUAAGUACCUUGUGAAAUCCCAACGGCUUAACCGUGGAACUGCUUGGUAUACUGCUUAUCUUGGGCCACUUAGGGGCUACCGGAACAAACGGUGGAGCGGUGAAAUGCGUAGAUAUCGUUUGGAACGCCAAUGGUGAAAACAGGUAGCUGGGAGUGUGCCGACGCUGAGACACGAAAGCCAAGGGAGCGAAACGGG
RNAcentral lists this ribosomal RNA (255 nucleotides) under uncultured bacterium. RNAcentral's name for it is "partial 16S ribosomal RNA". It matches the Rfam family "Bacterial small subunit ribosomal RNA", at positions 524 to 777 of the family's 1533-position model. The record is from RNAcentral.